Molecule: ribosomal RNA, 514 nt
Filed under: uncultured bacterium
Lineage: Bacteria
Description: bacterial SSU rRNA
Rfam family: Bacterial small subunit ribosomal RNA
Source: RNAcentral
UUUAGCAGAGAUGCUUUAGUGCCUUCGGGAACUCUGAGACAGGUGCUGCAUGGCUGUCGUCAGCUCGUGUUGUGAAAUGUUGGGUUAAGUCCCGCAACGAGCGCAACCCUUAUCCUUUGUUGCCAGCACGUAAUGGUGGGAACUCAAAGGAGACUGCCGGUGAUAAACCGGAGGAAGGUGGGGAUGACGUCAAGUCAUCAUGGCCCUUACGAGUAGGGCUACACACGUGCUACAAUGGCGCAUACAAAGAGAAGCGACCUCGCGAGAGCAAGCGGACCUCAUAAAGUGCGUCGUAGUCCGGAUUGGAGUCUGCAACUCGACUCCAUGAAGUCGGAAUCGCUAGUAAUCGUAAAUCAGAAUGUUACGGUGAAUACGUUCCCGGGCCUUGUACACACCGCCCGUCACACCAUGGGAGUGGGUUGCAAAAGAAGUAGAUAGCUUAACCUUCGGGAGGGCGUUUACCACUUUGUGAUUCAUGACUGGGGUGAAGUCGUAACAAGGUAGGCGUAGUGCU